This is a non-coding RNA of Pelobates cultripes (western spadefoot toad), 603 nucleotides long. Lineage: Eukaryota; Metazoa; Chordata; Amphibia; Anura; Pelobatidae. The record is from the annotation of a GenBank genome assembly.
GUUUAUAAUGGAAGGUUUAACCGAGGUCAGGAUGGGUUUAUAAUGGAAGGUUUAACCGAGUUCAGGACGGGUUUAUAAUGGAAGGUUUAACCAAGGUCAGGACGGGUUUAUAAUGGAAGGUUUAACCGAGUUCAGGACGGGUUUAUAAUGGAAGGUUUAACCGAGUUCAGGACGGGUUUAUAAUGGAAGGUUUAACUGAGGUCAGGAUGGGUUUAUAAUGGAAGGUUUAACCGAGGUCAGGAUGGGUUUAUAAUGGAAGGUUUAACCGAGGUCAGGAUGGGUUUAUAAUGGAAGGUUUAACCGAGUUCAGGACGGGUUUAUAAUGGAAGGUUUAACCAAGGUCAGGACGGGUUUAUAAUGGAAGGUUUAACCAAGGUCAGGACGGGUUUAUAAUGGAAGCUUUAGCCGAGGUCAGGACGGGUUUAUAAUGGAAGCUUUAGCCGAGGUCAGGAUGGGUCUAUAAUGGAAGGUUUAGCCAAGGUCGGGACAGGUUACCUGUGCAUCAUUGGGCUGUGGUAAUUGGUUGAGUGUGUCAGCUGACCACAGUGCAGUGGUAGACAGGAAGAGAGAUACAAAUAAUGGGAGACACGGAGAGAAAUGGGG